This 221-nucleotide non-coding RNA is filed under the name Amycolatopsis orientalis. RNAcentral also lists the same sequence under 1 other name. Lineage: Bacteria; Bacillati; Actinomycetota; Actinomycetes; Pseudonocardiales; Pseudonocardiaceae. The record is from RNAcentral.
ACGCUCCGGAGUGCUACUGGUUCGCCCGGCCCCAGGCCGGGCGAGGUAACAGGGAACCCGGUGCGAAUCCGGGACUGCCCCGCAGCGGUAUGUGGGAACGAAAGCCGUCACCGUGCGAGACACGGUAAAGCACUGGGACACGGCGUCCCGGGAAGCGACGGCCGGUAGGAGCGAGCGAGUCGCCCACGAGUCCGAAGACCUGCCCGUGGUACGCGCGCCGA